RNAcentral lists this long non-coding RNA (376 nucleotides) under Homo sapiens (human). Its description in RNAcentral is "HSALNT0308472". Lineage: Eukaryota; Metazoa; Chordata; Mammalia; Primates; Hominidae. The record is from RNAcentral.
GAUUUAACCCAGCCGCAGGAGAGCUCCUAUGGGGGCACGUCCAGAAAAGCCCCAAAGGGGGAUUGGAGGAAAGCACGUGGAUCUACACUCUUUCCAGCACCGGCAAAGGUCAGGCAAUAAUCGAAUCACUCUUCCUCGGCUUUCAUUUCAUCAACUGCACUGAUGAGGAUGGGGGAGGGGGCAUGAAGGAAGGGAGCGGUAGGAAGUGGUCCAUCCCUCCUCCUAAGGAGGGGGAGCAGGCUGGACAAGGACAUUCCAUUCUAUUUGCUACUCUCACAGAAGCCUUGGGAAAGAACAAAGAAAGAAUGAAAAGGAGACAGAUAUGCUGGGCACGCGCAUUCACAAAUACACGUGCUCACGCUCACACACACCCCCA